RNAcentral lists this ribosomal RNA (356 nucleotides) under uncultured bacterium. RNAcentral describes it as "bacterial SSU rRNA". It matches the Rfam family "Bacterial small subunit ribosomal RNA", at positions 29 to 414 of the family's 1533-position model. The record is from RNAcentral.
AGCGAACGCUGGCGGCAGGCCUAACACAUGCAAGUCGAGCGCCCAGCAAUGGGAGCGGCAGACGGGAGAGUAACACGUGGGAACGUGCCUUUUGGUUCGGAAUAACUCAGGGAAACUUGAGCUAAUACCGGAUAAGCCCUUACGGGGAAAGAUUUAUUGCCAAAAGAGCGGCCCGCGUCCGAUUAGCUAGUUGGUGAGGUAAUGGCUCACCAAGGCGACGAUCGGUAGCUGGUCGAGAGGAUGACCAGCCUCAUUGGGACUGAGACACGGCCCAAACUCCUACGGGAGGCAGCAGGUGGGGAAUAUUGGACAAUGGGCGCAAGCCUGAUCCAGCCAUGCCGCGUGAGUGAUGAAGG